UAAAUGACUCUCGGCAACGGAUAUCUCGGCUCUCGCAUCGAUGAAGAACGCAGCGAAUUGUGAUACUUGGUGUGAAUUGCAGGAUCCCGCGAACCAUCGAGUCUUUGAACGCAAGUUGCGCCCAAAGCCUUUUGGCAGAGGGCACGUCUGCCUGGGUGUCACUC
This 164-nucleotide ribosomal RNA is filed under the name Euphorbia cornastra. RNAcentral's name for it is "5.8S ribosomal RNA". It matches the Rfam family "5.8S ribosomal RNA". Rfam says of the family: 5.8S ribosomal RNA (5.8S rRNA) is a component of the large subunit of the eukaryotic ribosome. It is transcribed by RNA polymerase I as part of the 45S precursor that also contains 18S and 28S rRNA. Functionally, it is thought that 5.8S rRNA may be involved in ribosome translocation. Lineage: Eukaryota; Viridiplantae; Streptophyta; Magnoliopsida; Malpighiales; Euphorbiaceae. The record is from RNAcentral.